Molecule: long non-coding RNA, 586 nt
Filed under: Triticum aestivum (bread wheat)
Lineage: Eukaryota; Viridiplantae; Streptophyta; Magnoliopsida; Poales; Poaceae
Description: long non-coding RNA (TAES_LNC016212)
Source: RNAcentral
GCCAACCUUUUACAGAAUCGUAAUAAAGCCCGAAAUCUAAUAACAAGAGCAAGCAACCAAAUUCUUUUAUAUUUAGCACAUGGUUAUCUGAUAGUGGUAAGAUGCAGCAAAGUUCAACUUGUCAAUUUCUUCUCAAACAGAAAGUUUGUUGAACCCUCCUAAUACAAUAAGAGUACACUGUGGAAAAUGAAUUAAAGAGCGCACUCCUGUAAGUGAGGCACGGCUAAUAGAUACAAAAGUCUGGAAGAAAAAUGAGGCCAAAACUAGAGCUGAUAGGCACAAUUCUCAAUUAUUGUCCAGUUUCCCUAAGCCAUUCAAUUCAAAUUACACAUGAAACGGCACAGGAUGGUAAGAAGAUCCAUUUCCACAAUCAGCACUUCUGUCUUGUGUGAGUUCGAAAGUAAGGAAAAUGGCUUGCUGUCAGAAACAAAUACCAAUGCUCCUCCACUAGUUUCAACCCUAAUCAUGUCCAAGAAACUGAACAGCUGAAUUCACGCAUGUGAAAUUAAUUUAUGAGCAUCAUUCGAGAUGUCUGUUUAACUAGCAGGAUCGACGACUCAUACAGAAUAUACAGGCUAACUAAGAA